UGAACCCUAAUUCCCUAAAGGCGCCCAAUUCCUAAAUCCCUAAAUCAUAUAACAAUUCAGUCACACGUAGUCACACCGUUUUCUCUUUACAUCACCGGCGAAAUAGACAAUAGACCGCCGGCACAAGAGAUGAUAUACCACCGGCGAUCUACUCCCUUUCUUUACAACGACGCUGCGACCGGCGACCCGCAACCGCAAUCCGCGACCAGCGAAUUUGGUGUUUCGUGUUUGUUGAGCGGCACCGGCGACUGUGAUCUCUUUGUUUGAGGCGGCGGCGCGACUAUGGUUUUUGUUUGUUAAGCGGUGACCGGCGGCGACUGGUUUUCCACUUAUUUGUUCCAGCGAUUGCCGAUUAGUCAGUCUUCAAAAUAUGUCUAAUCUGAUUGGAAGUAGGGUAAGUGAAGAUUGAGCAUCAAAUAAAAAUGUUUCAACUUCAUCUUCAAAUAAAGUUGAAACUGCGGUUGAAGCUGAACUAUCGAAAAAAAGAAAGGUCAUGGAACCGAAGGCAAGAUAUUGGCAGUGGUUUGACAAGAUUGUUGAUGGAAAAACCGGAGCUAAGAAAGCACAAUGUAAGUAUUGUGGAAAAAUUUAUGCUGUUGCUUCAAGUGCUAGUGGUACUUCGUCCAUGAAUAAUCACAUGUUAAAAUUAUGUCCUUACCGCCCUAAUGUUGGUGUGAAAGAGAAAGACAGUCAAACAAAAUUAGCUUUUCUACCAUCGUCUGCGGAUGAAAAAGGAGGGGCAUUGAGUACUUGGACAUUUGAUCAAGGACGAAGUAGGAAAGCUUUAACUCAAAUGAUAGUUGUUGAUGAGUUGCCGUUUAGUUUUGUUGAAAAAGAAGACUUUAGAAAUUUCAUGAGAGUCACAGCCCCACAGUUUCAUAUUCAUUCUCGUAGAACCUUGACAAGAGAUUGUUAUCAGUUCUACAAUGAAGAGAAACAAGUUUUGAAAAAGGUUUUCAAAGAAGUGCGUCCAAAAGUUUGUCUUACGACAGAUACUUGGACGUCCAUACAAAAGAUUAACUAUAUGUGUCUAACAGCUCACUUUAUACAAAUUGGAAAUUGCAUAAAAGAGUGAUAAAUUUCUGUCCAAUUUCUAGUCAUAAAGGUGUUGAUAUGGCUGCUUUCAUUACUAAUUGUUUGCUUGAAUGGGGUUUGGAUACUGUUUUUAGUAUUACAGUUGAUAAUACUAGUUCCAACGAUGUUACGAUGAUACAAAUAUCUACAUAAUUAAGUAACUGGGGAACUAGCAUAAUGGAGGGUCAACAUCUUCAUGUGAGGUGUAUGGCACAUAUUCUUAAUCUUAUUGUGCAAGAUGGGCUGAAGGAAAUUGAUAAGUCUGUCAAGCGAGUGAGACAAGCUAUGAAGUAUGUUAAACAAUCUGCCGCGAGAGUUAAAAAGUUCAAAGAAUGUUGUGAAUCUCAAUUGAUAACUUGUAAGAAAUUUUUAUGUUUAGAUGUUCCUACUCGAUGGAACUCUACAUACUUGAUGCUUGAAACAACACAACAUUUUGAGCUUGCAUUUGAAAGAUAUAGUUUCUAUGAUAAUGGUUUCUUGGAUAAUCUCCGUACCUGAAGAUGGAAUAAGGCAGGCGCCUUUGUAAGUGAGGACUGGGAAAAUGUGAGGACAAUGGUAAAAUUUUUGAAAACUUUUUAUGAUCUUACUUUGAAAGUUUUUGGUUCAAAAUAUGUUACUACCAAUGCACACUUUGUAGAAAUUGCUGAACUUAAUCUGAUUUUGAAAGAGAUGAUAGAAAAUGAAGAUUCUAAUUUGAAAAAAAUGGCAGCAACUAUGAGGGAAAAGUUCAGAAAGUAUUGGGGUACUCAAGAGAAAAUGAACAAAAUGAUCUUUAUUUCAUCUGUGUUGGAUCCCCGCAACAAACUUGAAUAUGUUCCUUUUGCAAUUGUAGACAUGUUUGGAAAAGAAAUUGGGGACAAGUUGUCCGAUUCAGUGGAGUCAUAUAUGAAAGCCUUGUUUGAGCAUUAUGUUAAGAAAUCAAAAAACUCUUCAUCUUCAUCCACUUCUUCUUAUUAUGAAAAUUCUUCAUCCAUAAGUGGUUAUGGAAACUUUCAAAGAAGACAAAUAAUGAGAACAAAACAACAAUUUGAGAAGCAUGAAGAAAUUAGUGGAGGUUCAAGCAAUAAAUCUGAGUUGGGAAAAUAUCUUGCUGGAGAGAGUGAGCCAGAUUCGGAACAAUUUGAUAUAUUAGGUUGGUGGAAAGUUAAUGAGCCGAGAUUUCCCAUUCUCGCUGAGAUGGCUCGUGAUGUGUUAGCCAUUCCUAUUUCCAGUGUCACAUCUGCUUGUGCAUUUAGCACGGGAGGUCAGGUUAUUGAUCCCUUUAGGAGUUCAUUAACUCCUAAACUAGUGUAAUCUCUUAUUUGUCUUCAAGAUUGGCUUAGAAGUGAAUCUACUCCAGUUAAUAUCGAGGUAGAUUUAGAGUAUCUUGAGGAACUUGAAGUUGAAAUGCCUUAUAGUGGAACUGAAUCUAGCAUUGUUGAUGUGUAGUUGUCCAUAAGCAAAUGUGAAUUGUAGAAGUUUUGCGAGUCGUUUGAUGAAGUGUUCGAUGGGAAAUGGAUUGUGUCUAAAGAGGAGUAUUCAGAAACGAAAGCACUAAGCAGCCUUAUGUGGAGUAGCAUUUGAUGUUGGAUUUGAGAAAGAUGAAGUUAUAGUAUCUUUUUUUGUGUGGGAAGGAAAUUAGGAGUCUAGGACUGAACAAGAGCUGACCUUUGAGAAAGUUACAAGGUAAUAUGCUUUACUAUCCUUCACAAGACGUAAUCUUGACUAAUCUUCAGCGUGACUGAAGAGCAUAUCGUUUUUAGUAUAUUAGGGCGUUUGUAUUUGAGAAUUUAUUUUUCUUUGCUGCCAGACCUCCUCUCUACAUCGACGAGUUGCUUUUCCCUAUCAGAAAAUCUAGGUGACCCUUUGUACAUUAUUGAGAGCACUUAUUAUUAAUCUUUGUUGGCAAAUUCUGAAGGUUUCUUUAGUACAUUGCCUCCUUAAGGUGACAUGAUAAUGAUACUAGGUGACAUGAUAAUGAUCCUAGGUGCAGUAUAAGGUAUGAUGAUAGAGUUUUGGUGAUAAUUUUUAGUAUUAAAGUUUGGAAGCAUUGUCGUCAUGUUGGUUGAAUUUGGUGUGAUGAAUUAAGAAUUCUGAUAUUUGGAGAGGAAAAUGACUUCUAACCAUAAGUUAAGGAAGUCGAUUUUUCCUUUUGAUGAAGCAUCUUUUAAAGGAAAUUAUCGUAUAACCAAAUACUAAAAAACAUUCAGAUGAAGGGUUAUACCUAAAGAUGGGCAAUUCAAAUCUGCUAAACCUUUUUCUCUUAUGAAAUGAAGGUAUAUUUUAGGUGCUGUAUUCUUAAAGCUUUGCAAACUUCUACAGGUGCUGCUGUAUUCAAAAACCUGUGGACCCUAGCCUUUUCAUUCAUCGAUUCGCUGAUCGAGUAGACCAGUUGUUUUAUGGAUUGAUGGUAGUGACUGUUUUGUUGUUUUAUGGACUCUUCUGUUGUUUUAUGGACUAGUUUAUGGACUGUUUUAGUGACUCAAAUAUUUUGUGGACUAUUUUGGUGACUAGGAACUAUUUUAUGGACUAUUUUUAUGUAGAAAGUCUGUGCUAGUUGAUUUAUGGACUAUUUUUAUGAGUUUUGUGGACAGGAUUGUUUAUGCAAAUUUAUAUAUAAUGAUCAAUGACGUUAUGUAUUA
This is a long non-coding RNA of Capsicum annuum, 3695 nucleotides long. RefSeq lists it as uncharacterized. The record is from RefSeq and is a predicted model, not a curated record. Lineage: Eukaryota; Viridiplantae; Streptophyta; Magnoliopsida; Solanales; Solanaceae. The transcript is spliced from 5 exons.